UUUUAUGGAGAGUUUGAUCCUGGCUCAGGAUGAACGCUGGCGGCGUGCCUAAUACAUGCAAGUCGAGCGAACGGACGAGAAGCUUGCUUUUCUGAUGUUAGCGGCGGACGGGUGAGUAACACGUGGAUAACCUACCUAUAAGACUGGGAUAACUUCGGGAAACCGGAGCUAAUACCGGAUAAUAUUUUGAACCGCAUGGUUCAAAAGUGAAAGACGG
RNAcentral lists this ribosomal RNA (217 nucleotides) under Staphylococcus aureus. RNAcentral describes it as "partial 16S ribosomal RNA". It matches the Rfam family "Bacterial small subunit ribosomal RNA", at positions 1 to 210 of the family's 1533-position model. Lineage: Bacteria; Bacillati; Bacillota; Bacilli; Caryophanales; Staphylococcaceae. The record is from RNAcentral.